Long non-coding RNA from Anas platyrhynchos (mallard), 1241 nucleotides. RefSeq lists it as uncharacterized. NCBI's taxonomy places the organism in Eukaryota, Metazoa, Chordata, Aves, Anseriformes, Anatidae. The record is from RefSeq and is a predicted model, not a curated record.
UCAAGGAAGUGACAUUUAAAAAAUUUCAGAUUGAUCUUAAGCAUGAGGAUCUUGCUUCUCUCUUGUUUUUUUCAGGUUGCUUCUGAGUCAAAAAGUCAAUUAUUUAUCACCAUUUUACUGAUGGGGAAAUGAAACAGAGAAGAAAGGACUUGUCUUAGUCACAUGGGAAGUCUGUGGCAGUUCUGGGUCCUCAUCUGAAGUGGAAAUACAUUGUGUGCUGAGAUGUGGAGACUCCAGUUUAUUGUCCUGCAGCACACAGCCCUCCUGAGAAGACAGGAAAGAGAAUAAGAUUCCGAAACUUAGCUUCAAAUGUUCAUUGCAGGGACUGACAGUAAAGGAGUUUUAUUAGGUUUGGAGAGAGCCUUCUUUGGACCUUCCAUCUGAAACCAUCUGGAGGAAAAUGCUUUUGCUUUUGGCCGGUUUUGGCUGUGUUCCUGCCCUGCCACGUGGAGCUCCUCAGCCUGGAGGUCGGGCUUGGCAAACGCAGCCUCGUGUCGUGAAACCCACAGCUGUGGGCAGAGUGGCUUCUCUUUGACAUUUCUCGAGUGAGUAAGACCUGUCUGGAAUUUCUGAAGGAUUUUCUGCUAUCUCGGGUGUCUGCUGUCUGCUGCAGAAACAGUUUUUCUACGGUAUUAUAGCAAAUUUUCCAUGGAUCGAUCAUCACCACCACCGCUUCCCCUACAGAUAAUGCAUAUCUGGGAAUAAAGCUCCUCAGGGCAGCUACCCAGGCUUCCCUCUUUGAAAGGGUCUUUUCUGAAAGAUGACACACAUGGACUCACAUCUUAAUAUUUAUUUAUUUUUUUUUUCUCUGAAAACAUCUGAGUCACAGUUGUGUGAAUAACAGGACACAUUAAGGAGCAAAUGAUAUAUCUGGUACAAGUGAGCUCACUGUCCCAGCUUACUAGACGAAUGUUUAUACAUUCAAAUAAGCAGCACACUCAGCUCCUGGGCUGAUCUGUGCAAGACAGCCAAUGCGCUGUCUGGUUACAUCAUGGUGAUGCUGAGCAUGACAUGCACCAGUGGUAACAAGUGGAAGAACAAAGCUGUAGAGCUGUGUGCAGUCUGUGGCAAGGUAAUGGACACUUGAGGAAUCUGGCUGCUGGGAGCAGGAGUGGGGGAAAAUUAUAUUCACAGGGUAAAAUUUAGCUCCAGAAAUCCAGUUUCUGAAUCUGGACAGUCUGUGAACACACUUUUCUUGUUUUUUCCCUUCCCUUCCCUUCCCCCUUCCCUUCCUUCCCUUC